UACGAACGUGACGUACUCCGACCGACGACUUAACCCUCUAGGCUUCCGACACCACCACACGAUUUCUGCACACGACUGCACUGACGAAGGGGUGCGCAAUGCUCGAUUAGUGCAUCGGACUCGUCACCGCGCUCCUGUAAUAUCGAUUGAGUGCAACUGAUUGUGUAAUUGUAAUUAAGGCAAUCUUGUAAUCGUCGACGAUAAAUCGGUAUAAUUAAUGAACCGAGUCGUGCUGACGACGCUCCAAGUGUCUAUCUGACUGCACGAUCGCGGCCGGUUCGCUGUCACGUGACAAGUCUUACGGCCAAGGUAUAAGAAACCGCGAGUUCUGAAUCAGACGCGCGAAGGUGAUAACGGCGGACGAGUCUCUCGAGCCAAGGAGACGAGGAGCGGAUACACAGAGACCAUGAAUGCCGAGACAUGCCGCAGUUGCAGCAGUUGCACUUCGGGCGAGCACGUGCAGCUUGU
This is a long non-coding RNA of Diprion similis, 468 nucleotides long. RefSeq lists it as uncharacterized. The transcript is spliced from 3 exons. Lineage: Eukaryota; Metazoa; Arthropoda; Insecta; Hymenoptera; Diprionidae. The record is from RefSeq and is a predicted model, not a curated record.